GACGAACGCUGGCGGCGUGCCUAAUACAUGCAAGUCGAGCGAGCGGAACCAACAGAUUUACUUCGGUAAUGACGUUGGGAAAGCGAGCGGCGGAUGGGUGAGUAACACGUGGGGAACCUGCCCCUAAGUCUGGGAUACCAUUUGGAAACAGGUGCUAAUACCGGAUAAUAAAGCAGAUCGCAUGAUCAGCUUUUGAAAGGCGGCGUAAGCUGUCGCUAAGGGACGGCCCCGCGGUGCAUUUAGCUAGUUGGUAAGGUAACGGCUUACCAAGGCGACGAUGCAUAGCCGAGUUGAGAGACUCGAUCGGCCACAUUGGGACUGAGACACGGGCCCAA
Molecule: ribosomal RNA, 335 nt
Filed under: uncultured bacterium
Lineage: Bacteria
Description: bacterial SSU rRNA
Rfam family: Bacterial small subunit ribosomal RNA
Source: RNAcentral